UGGGGAAUAUUGGACAAUGGGGGGAACCCUGAUCCAGCCAUGCCGCGUGUGUGAAGAAGGCCUUAUGGUUGUAAAGCACUUUAAGCGAGGAGGAGGGUACUGGUAUUAAUACUACCAGCUACUGGACGUUACUCGCAGAAUAAGCACCGGCUAACUCUGUGCCAGCAGCCGCGGUAAUACAGAGGGUGCGAGCGUUAAUCGGAUUUACUGGGCGUAAAGCGUGCGUAGGCGGCUAAUUGAGUCGGAUGUGAAAUCCCCGAGCUUAACAUGGGAAUUGCAUUCGAUACUGGUUAGCUAGAGUGUGGGAGAGGAUGGUAGAAUUCCAGGUGUAGCGGUGAAAUGCGUAGAGAUCUGGAGGAAUAGCGAUGGCGAAGGCAGCCAUCUGGCCUAACACUGACGCUGAGGUACGAAAGCAUGGGGAGCAAACAGG
This 430-nucleotide ribosomal RNA is filed under the name Pseudomonadota bacterium. RNAcentral's name for it is "Proteobacteria bacterium partial 16S ribosomal RNA". It matches the Rfam family "Bacterial small subunit ribosomal RNA", at positions 355 to 776 of the family's 1533-position model. The record is from RNAcentral. Lineage: Bacteria; Pseudomonadati; Pseudomonadota.